GACCGCGUAGCUCAGUUGGAAGAGCAUUGGGCUAGUAUUCCAAAGGUCGUAGGUUCGAAUCCCACCGUGGUUG
Non-coding RNA from Paramuricea clavata, 73 nucleotides. NCBI's taxonomy places the organism in Eukaryota, Metazoa, Cnidaria, Anthozoa, Malacalcyonacea, Plexauridae. The record is from the annotation of a GenBank genome assembly.